Molecule: ribosomal RNA, 500 nt
Filed under: uncultured bacterium
Lineage: Bacteria
Description: partial 16S ribosomal RNA
Rfam family: Bacterial small subunit ribosomal RNA
Source: RNAcentral
GACGAACGCUGGCGGCGUGCUUAACACAUGCAAGUCGAACGGUGAAGCGCUUUCCUUUUUGGUUGGUGUGGAUGAGUGGCGAACGGGUGAGUAACACGUGAGUAACCUGCCCCCUUCUUCUGGAUAACCGCAUGAAAGUGUGGCUAAUACGGGAUAUUCUGCGCCUGCUGCAUGGUGGGUGUGGGAAAGAUUGUGCCUUUGGGUGUUUUCGGUGGGGGAUGGGCUCGCGGCCUAUCAGCUUGUUGGUGGGGUGAUGGCCUACCAAGGCGGUGACGGGUAGCGGGCCUGGGAGGGUGGGGGGGAACACGGGGACGGGAACAGGGCCCAAGCUCCUGCGGGGGGCGGCAGUGGGGAAUAUUGCACAAUGGGCGGAAGCCUGAUGCAGCGCCGCCGGGUGAGGGAGGGGGGCUUUGGGGUUGGGAACCUUUUUCGCGAGGGAAGCAGGCCUUCUCCUUGGGGGGGGGUGGGCGGUAGGUGAAAAAAAAGCCCCGGCUAACUAC